AUUCUAUUAGUAUAUAAGUAUAUUUAACUUCCAAUUAAAAGGAUUAAUUUUAUUAAAUAGAUUA
RNAcentral lists this transfer RNA (64 nucleotides) under Kikihia sp. 'murihikua'. RNAcentral's name for it is "tRNA-Gly". The record is from RNAcentral. Lineage: Eukaryota; Metazoa; Arthropoda; Insecta; Hemiptera; Cicadidae.